ACCUUCCGUCAGCCUCAGCCAGCCAUCGUCCCCAUCCACUCCCGCGCCGCCACUUCGCUUUCCACGCUACCCAGGCUUGCAAGAAAGACAACUGCCUUCCCUUCGCGCUCUCCUUUUAUUUACCGUGUGUUAGGCCAAGUGCGUUGUUGAAGUCACGACUAAGCCACCGUUUGAAGUAGUUCAUAUAGCUCGCCCUAGCUGCGUUGCAAGUCUUCGUGUUCAACUCUACGGGAAUAACACAGAAUCGUUGGUGAAAGAACCAGACUCAAAAGGCAAUUUUACUCUUUCCCUCCGCCGACCACCACCACCACCACCACCACCAUGGCAAUGCCCGAGCCCAUUAGUCUGAGGGACAUCCAGUACCUACCCGAGGAGAACAACAUAUGGAUGUACGCCAUCGUCGCCAUUGGGUCUGCCUUCCUCGUCUUCGUCCUCAUCUCCGUCUACCUUAUGUGGCGAUCUAUGCGCUCCGAGAGGCAGGACAUCGAGAGAGAGACGCUGUGUGAGGCGGAGAAGCUGCCGGCGAAGAGCAGUAUCACCUCACUUCACUCUGACCUCUCCUUCACCGCCACCUCGCCCUAAGCAGACCCGACCCGACCUGACCCCGCCUGAUCCCGCCACGCCAUCCCUCUUCCCCCGUUAAAGGUCACACACCUGAGGAGGCACCCAUCUACGCAGUCACCACCACCACCACCUCCCGAUGCAGGCAACAACACCAACACCUCCUACCACAAAAGCACGCCUCCACUCAAGCCACUCAGCUAUGACGCACGCUCACUGCCCUUACCCACUCCCACACCCACCUGGGGACCUCCUCUUUCUGGUGCAGGAGGGUGAUGGAGGCUGAUGCUGUAGUCUCAGUCUCAAGCCCCUUCUAGAUGUCACCUGCUUCUCUAAGGAUACCUUAAUGCCCCGGGGAAAUUGUGUGGUGUCCCUGGUAUGUGUGGAGGUCUUGUCACCCUGCAUCCUCUCUCCUUCCUCGUGUCUGGUGAAGGUUUGUAGCACUGGUGGAGUCUCGGGUUGCUGCUUCACUAUCUUGGUAAGCUUUUUUUUUCUUUCUCACAUUCUGAGUCUAUUUGUUUUUUUAUAUGUUAACACUUAGGCAUUUUGUUUAUUUAAUUCAUGACUUCCUAUUCUUAAUCAUGUACUUAAGUGUUUUUGACAAGAUGGUAAGUUUUUCACAUUUCCCAAUGAUUUUCUUCAUACUGAACACUUUAAUUUACACCUAACCUUCAAAUAUGUACUGUAUAUCUGAACAUUAAGGACAGUGAUUGUUAUUUGAAUGAUGGCAUAAAGUUUGGUAAUAAUAAUCUUCAGUUCCCAUAGUACAGCUAUAACAGGAGACUCCAACAUUGCUGCCUUGCUUAUCUGAUCAAAUUGGCAAGCGAUGUUCAUUUCCUUCCCCAUCCUCCUGACUGCUAGUAAGUUAUUUUGUUGGUGACCAGGAGCUUUUCCAAGCCAGUGGUCUACAAAGGAAGAUUUAGCAGACCUUAACAUUGUGUCGUAGGUGUUGAUACAUUUAUAAUAUAUUGUGAGACUAGACAGUAGGGUUCACGUUACAUAGUGACAUGCAGCAGAGUCCCACUUAACCAAAGCCAAAGGGAGGAAACUACUUCAGAUUAACAUUUCUGAUAGCUUUACUUUUACUCUUCAAAGAUUUUUCAACAUAAACCUGAGGAAAAUACUUGAAUGGAUUAGUGGCUGCCAGAUGGGAGGUGGGUAAACACUUGCCAGAAACAAACAACCCAAAUAGUAAUACAAUUUGCGAUCUAAUUAAUAAUAAUUUGUUAAAUUCACCAUUCGUGGUCUUCAGAAAUUCAGGAUUUGGUGAAAUGGGACUCUGGUGUAGCAAGUCUGUGUUAGUGGGUGUUUAUGUAGCAGCAACUCAUGUGUGAAGCUUUAAAUCUGUAGCCCAUAGCGUCGGAACAGGAUGAUAGGGCGCAUUAGGGCUGGUCUUCCUUAUUCUUAUUAACAAAAAUGGUUAUUGAUGUUCCUUUACUUCAAAGUCACCUCUUGUAACCUUGUAUCAUUUUGGUAUUUAUUUCUCAUCAGUAAUUUCAGAUGGUUCUUGGCACAGUUAUUUUUCAUUAAUUGCAAAAUUGCAAUGCACCUCUGUAAUGUAUUUUAACAAUUAUUCAGUUCUUAUAACUACUACUUGAGUAUUUAGAUGCACUCUUGUAACCUUAUAUAUCUCAGUACUACCUUACAAUAACUGCAUACUAUUUCAAAUGCACUUCUGUAACCUUGUAUGUAUUAUCUCAGUACUAACUUUCUGACACCUAACUAUUAUUUGUAAGGUUCUCGGGUGAUAUUUUUGUGGCUUUAGGUAACAUUGGCAUUUCCAUCAUGUCUUCCAUCGUUGAUAUACAUAAAUAAGCCAAAAAAAAUAUAUCAUAAUGUUUUAUACCUUGAGCUAGGUAAAAAAUAUAUUAUGGCAUUAUAAACUAAGCUGCUUUUAUAAGAUGAGGAAGACGAUCAUUGUGUUAUUAUUCACACAGCCUGAGUUCAGCUUCUCAUGUUGUCUGGUACAACUUGUGACCUUUAUAAAGUAAUGCUCAGCUUAAAUGGAAAAUCAAAAUCUGAAUAUCACAGGUCUCCACUACUCCCACUCACCAAGUUCAUGUCCCAGUGUCAGUGUCAGAUAAAGUGAGGUGACCAUGAGCAAUAACUUGUGCCAUCAAAUUAUAAGCACCAUUUAACACUUAGUUACAUAGUUAUUACUGCUUCCAUUAUACAUAAUUCAUUACUGCUUCCAUUAUUUAUGACUGGUCAGAGGCUUAUGUCAUGUCUUUACAGUUACAUGAUCAUUCAAGCAAGAUAUAUCUCCCACUGACAAGUUAUAAGUCACUGACUUGUUUUGUGAGGUAAUAUAGCAAUCCUUCACAGCUUAGGGAGGAACCUUACAGUCUGGGACAAGGAGAUGGCGAGUGGUGGAUGGAGUUUCUCAUGCCAAGAAAUAUUUUAUGGAUUCAAAAAUUAUCAAAGGAAAGUGCAUACUAUGUGAAAAUCAAAAAAUAUAAUAUCAGAGUUACUGACUAGUUUUGUAUACAGAUUUAAACUAUAUUAUGUAUAAUAAUAAUUCUAGUCCCUAAACUAUAAGAUUAAUCAAAAUUAAGAAAGAAAUUAUUGAUAUUUAUGUAUCCCAAACUGAUUAAUACUUCAACUUGUUUUAAAGGAAAUACUUAUGUAAUGGUAGACAUGAAUUAUUUUUCAUUGUUGGUUCUGUUGUGUUUAACAUUUCAUAAAUUCAUUUCACAAGGUGAAGGUCACUGGGUCAGCACAGGCAGUGUCUUGUACUGUGGAGCACCACAGAACAUGUAUUUUCCAUCAUAUAACCCAGAUUUUGCCAUGCCUUUAGUUUAAUUUGUCCUUCAUCACAACAAAAGGUGUAGAGUUGCUGGCAUCAUCAUGUGAAACAGGUGUUUGCUACCUCAAGUAUUGCAGGCUACACUUGGACAGAUUUAUCUUUAUGGAGGAGGUGCAGGCAAAUCAGCGAUGCUUCAGUGUCAGCAGCCCAUGACUUGGCCAAGUGACAAUGGCCAGCAGCCACCUGCCUGGCCAGCCCAUAGCAAGGCAACACUAGGUGGUAAGGGCACAUAUCCACAUGGGCUACCUGUGUGUGGAAAAUUGGCAUCACCUCAAAUGCACUUCACCAGCACAGGGUGGCGUAGUGGAUAAGGUGGUGAAUGUGGGUUAAAAUCCCACUACAUACCGAUUUGAAGCUCUGCCAUUUGUCCAGUGGUUUAAAAUUACCUACAUGUCACCAUGAUACCCAGGUUCUAGAUGGUUACAACAAAGAUGCACUUGGGUGGUGAUACGGGCCCUAAUAUGGGUACCACUAUAAAUAAAAUUGCCUGCACCACUCACUAGUGGGAGGAAGCUGAACAUAUAUUCAAGUAUGACUAUAGGCACUAUAGGCCAUAUUAAAAAAAAAAAGUCAUACACCGACAAUAUUUCUUGAUAUUCUCAUUCUCUCUCUCUGUCUAUAUUUCACAUGCCACUAGUUAGCGAAAUAUCCACUGCUGCCACCGGACAACAUCAACUAUAUGUGCCAGUGAAUAAUACCUGUACAGAGGCGUGCUCCAUGCUAGUGGCUGGGCCCACACUGUGGAACAGCCUUCCCAGUGACAUCAAAAAUGCACCUUCAUUACGCUCAUUUAAGAAACAGCUGUUCCUCCAUCUUUUUAAGCAUCAGUUUAGUGAGUAGUCUAUGUUAUUAGUUUGUUAUUAUGUUUUAUCCCUGACUAUUUUAUUUUUAGUUGUUUUGUCAUGUUUUAUAUGUAGUUUUAAUUAUGACACAGACAUGUCUUAGCUUUUUAGUUAUAAUUAUCAUCUAUUAUAAUUGAUUGUUAAACACGUGUAUUUUAUCUGUUAUAGGCAUCACUGAUCUCACAAUGUUUGUAUGAUUGAAGAAUAACCAUUGUAAAAUGGAAUAAAGGUUUGAUUCUGAUUCUCUCUCUCUCUCUCUGUCUGAGAGAGAGAGAGACAGACACUCUCUCUCUCUCUCACAGAGAGAUAGACAGAGACAGA
This 4530-nucleotide long non-coding RNA is filed under the name Portunus trituberculatus (swimming crab). RNAcentral describes it as "uncharacterized LOC123503159". Lineage: Eukaryota; Metazoa; Arthropoda; Malacostraca; Decapoda; Portunidae. The record is from RNAcentral.